CCUACGGGUGGCAGCAGUGAGGAAUAUUGGUCAAUGGACGAAAGUCUGAACCAGCCAAGUAGCGUGAAGGAUGACGGCCCUAUGGGUUGUAAACUGCUUUUAUGUGGGGAUAAAAUGCUCCACGUGUGGGGUUUUGUAGGUACCAUAUGAAUAAGGAUCGGCUAACUCCGUGCCAGCAGCCGCGGUAAUACGGAGGAUCCGAGCGUUAUCCGGAUUUAUUGGGUUUAAAGGGAGUGUAGGUGGAAUGUUAAGUCAGUUGUGAAAUUUUGUGGCUCAACCGUAAAAUUGCAGUUGAAACUGGCAGUCUUGAGUACAGUAGAGGUGGGCGGAAUUCGUGGUGUAGCGGUGAAAUGCUUAGAUAUCACGAAGAACUCCGAUUGCGAAGGCAGCUCACUGGACUGCAACUGACACUGAGGCUCGAAAGUGUGGGUAUCAAACAGGAUUAGAUACCCUAGUAGUC
Molecule: ribosomal RNA, 460 nt
Filed under: uncultured bacterium
Lineage: Bacteria
Description: partial 16S ribosomal RNA
Rfam family: Bacterial small subunit ribosomal RNA
Source: RNAcentral